GACGAACGCUGGCGGCGUGCUUAACACAUGCAAGUCGAACGGAAAGGCCCUGCUUUUGUGGGGUGCUCGAGUGGCGAACGGGUGAGUAACACGUGAGUAACCUGCCCUUGACUUUGGGAUAACUUCAGGAAACUGGGGCUAAUACCGGAUAGGAGCUCCUGCUGCAUGGUGGGGGUUGGAAAGUUUCGGCGGUUGGGGAUGGACUCGCGGCGUAUCAGCUUGUUGGUGGGGUAGUGGCUUACCAAGGCUUUGACGGGUAGCCGGGCUGAGAGGGUGACCGGCCCCAUUGGGACUGAGAUACGGCCCAGACUCCUACGGGAGGCAGCAGUGGGGAAUAUUGCACAAUGGGCGGAAGCCUGAUGCAGCAACGCCGCGUGGGGGAUGACGGCCUUCGGGUUGUAAACCGCUUUCGCCUGUGACGAAGCGUGAGUGACGGUAAUGGGUAAAGAAGCACCGGCUAACUACGUG
This 468-nucleotide ribosomal RNA is filed under the name uncultured bacterium. RNAcentral describes it as "partial 16S ribosomal RNA". It matches the Rfam family "Bacterial small subunit ribosomal RNA", at positions 28 to 507 of the family's 1533-position model. The record is from RNAcentral.